RNAcentral lists this ribosomal RNA (438 nucleotides) under uncultured Parvibaculum sp. Its description in RNAcentral is "bacterial SSU rRNA". It matches the Rfam family "Bacterial small subunit ribosomal RNA", at positions 8 to 492 of the family's 1533-position model. The record is from RNAcentral. Lineage: Bacteria; Pseudomonadati; Pseudomonadota; Alphaproteobacteria; Hyphomicrobiales; Parvibaculaceae.
AGAGUUUGAUCAUGGCUCAGAACGAACGCUGGCGGCAGGCUUAACACAUGCAAGUCGAACGGUUGUAGCAAUACAGCAGUGGCAGACGGGUGAGUAACACGUGGGAACCUUCCUAGGGGUACGGAACAACUCAGGGAAACUUGAGCUAAUACCGUAUACGUCCGUAAGGAGAAAGAUUUAUCGCCCUUAGACGGGCCCGCGUCGGAUUAGGUAGUUGGUGGGGUAACGGCCUACCAAGCCUACGAUCCGCAGCUGAUCUUAGAGGAUGAUCAGCCACACUGGGACUGAGACACGGCCCAGACUCCUACGGGAGGCAGCAGUGGGGAAUCUUGGACAAUGGGCGCAAGCCUGAUCCAGCCAUGCCGCGUGAGUGAAGAAGGCCUUAGGGUUGUAAAGCUCUUUUACCAGGGACGAUAAUGACGGUACCUGAGAAUAGCC